Long non-coding RNA from Mytilus californianus (California mussel), 413 nucleotides. RefSeq lists it as uncharacterized. The transcript is spliced from 2 exons. The record is from RefSeq and is a predicted model, not a curated record. NCBI's taxonomy places the organism in Eukaryota, Metazoa, Mollusca, Bivalvia, Mytilida, Mytilidae.
AUGAUUGCCAACUACCAGAUAAAUUGGAUGAAAACCUCUUUAUCCAACCAAUCUUAAGGUAUAUAUUAAAAUAAUGUAUAUUAAUCAUAUUUAAACCUCCUUGUGGAAUAUCUCCGAUUAAAGUACUUCGUUUAAUUCGAUCAGGUUUUCCACUCCAUAUGAAUUGAAAGAAUAAAGUAUUCAAUUCAUUUAAUUUUGACUCUGGCAAGUUGGGUAGUGCAGUCAACAGGUGAAUUAUUUUUGCUUUUUUUACUGUGGGCUUUCAAGCAAGUGAUAAAUUAAUUUGCUUUCGAUAUUUGAAUUUAUAAUUUGGAAAGAUUUAUUUACAUUUUGCUGUAAGUUUUAUUCCUGUAUAUUAUAAAUAGCUAUUGACCAUUAUUAUUAGAUUUUUCAUCCAUCAGCUUUUUGUAUCU